This is a non-coding RNA of Podarcis lilfordi (Lilford's wall lizard), 1838 nucleotides long. The record is from the annotation of a GenBank genome assembly. Lineage: Eukaryota; Metazoa; Chordata; Lepidosauria; Squamata; Lacertidae.
CCCAGAAUUGGUAAUAGCAUAAUGCUGACCUCAGCCUCAUGUUUUAUAUUUCUAUAAAAAUAUAGAAAAAUAUAUAUUAAACAGUUCCAAGGUUAAGGAAAAAAAACACCCCUAUUAACCAUCUUUGGACAUAAAACAAUGUGUUGAACUCGGACUUUGUGAUGCUUACAGCAGACCCACUGAAACCUUUGGAAUUUAAGUUUUGACUUAUUUUUGUCCCAUUGAUUUCAGUGGGUCUACAUUAAGCAUGGCUAAGCCAGGAUCUAACCCUGUGCUGCUGGGACUUAUAGGGUAUGUUCAUAUUAGUGGCUUAAAAUGCAACAGGAUCAUUUCUGCUUCCCUGAAUUUGCAUGGUGUUGCCCCUAUGAAGGGCUGUGUCUGUGUGUGUGUGUGUGUGUGUGUGUGUGUGUGAGAGAGAGAGAGAGAGAGAGAGAGAGAGGUAUCUUCACCUAUACGCAUGACCUUUUUGGUUUCCUUGCUCCCACAAGCCCCACUCCAAUUCAUGAAGUUGUCAGCUGCACGCACAAAUAUUCACAUUACCACUUACUCCGUGCCCAAAUUUCUAGUCUGAUAGACGCUGGUUGGAGGAAAAAAUGCCUCAAACGAGAAACAUGCCACUAUGGAUUAUGGCUAAUGUGAACGUGGCCGCUUACACUGGCUGUGGUGUAAGUGGCUAUGUGAACACUUGCUAGGCAGCAAACUCCACAGAACAAAGGAGAAUUUACUUCCAAAUAAAUAUGUAUAGGAUUCUGCUGUCAACCCUAAAUCAGAGACUCAAAUAUAUUAUUUGAUACGAUUAACAUUUGUUAUCUGUCAUUAGGCCUGAAUGUACAUUUUCAAAUGUUCACAAAAUAUUUUGUUCUACACAAAGGGACUAAAUACUUCACUCCAAAUACUGCCAUGUUCGCAUUCAACAAAGUCAAGCUUUAUUUGAUCUCACCUAAUAAUCCUCCUAUGGGGCCAAGAGGAAGCACUUCCCCCAAACACUUUCGGACUGAUUCUUUGCUGUCAGAAGCUGUUACUGGGGGAAAGAAAAAACCCCAAAACUAUUAGCACAGACUAAAUUCCCUACUGUAAUUGGUUAUGAAGGUGGCAAAGCCUGUCAAAUCAUGAUGAUAUCUGGAUUUCUCUCUCUCUCUCUGUCUCACUUGCAUCAGAUUACAGUUAAAAACUUUAAUGAUUUUGAAGUAACCAUCUGUAUUCAAAAUGUGGAUUGUCGUUCAGUUUCAAACAGGUCUAACUCCAGAGUCAAAGUUCUAUCUACCUCUGUGAUCUCUAUGAAAUUAACCUUUCAGUUAGAUUUUUUGGCAUCUGUCUAACAGCAUAUCCAUUGGCUGACAUCCCAGAUGUUAAGUUUCUCUAAGUGGAUGUUAAAGAACAUUUUACCUAGCUCAAAUUUGGUAGAAGAGUGACAAGAGCAAGGAAUAAAUGUUUCAUAUAAUCACUGCAGAGUUCUUUCCAAGAAGUGGAUUAGCAAAUUUCAGUGUCAUACAAGGAUUUUUUCCAGUGUUUCCUGGUAUAGUCUACUUCAGAUCUUUAAGAUCUAUGCUUAGGGCUCAGACAUGUGUUUACAAAUGUUCAUGCUCAGAACAGAUAUUCCUUCCAUCUUUGCAGUGAUAUAAGGACAGGGUUUUAUAUCAAGAGAUGUUCAGCUUUCAUGUCCCUUUCUAGCCUUAAUAUGGUCUUCCUUAGUAAGAAUCAAUGAUUUUAUUUUAUUGAUCUUGUCUGUUUUGGUUAGGACAGAAUACAAAAACUCAUGGUUUUUUGCAUGUAUAGAAGCCUCUUGGAGAUGUGUUCUCAAGCAACUCACCUUUUGCCCCAAAUAUAGACAUAUCGCU